Molecule: ribosomal RNA, 943 nt
Filed under: Escherichia coli
Lineage: Bacteria; Pseudomonadati; Pseudomonadota; Gammaproteobacteria; Enterobacterales; Enterobacteriaceae
Also listed under: 1 other name
Description: partial 23S ribosomal RNA
Rfam family: Bacterial large subunit ribosomal RNA
Source: RNAcentral
UGUGUGUUAGUGGAAGCGUCUGGAAAGGCGCGCGAUACAGGGUGACAGCCCCGUACACAAAAAUGCACAUGCUGUGAGCUCGAUGAGUAGGGCGGGACACGUGGUAUCCUGUCUGAAUAUGGGGGGACCAUCCUCCAAGGCUAAAUACUCCUGACUGACCGAUAGUGAACCAGUACCGUGAGGGAAAGGCGAAAAGAACCCCGGCGAGGGGAGUGAAAAAGAACCUGAAACCGUGUACGUACAAGCAGUGGGAGCACGCUUAGGCGUGUGACUGCGUACCUUUUGUAUAAUGGGUCAGCGACUUAUAUUCUGUAGCAAGGUUAACCGAAUAGGGGAGCCGAAGGGAAACCGAGUCUUAACUGGGCGUUAAGUUGCAGGGUAUAGACCCGAAACCCGGUGAUCUAGCCAUGGGCAGGUUGAAGGUUGGGUAACACUAACUGGAGGACCGAACCGACUAAUGUUGAAAAAUUAGCGGAUGACUUGUGGCUGGGGGUGAAAGGCCAAUCAAACCGGGAGAUAGCUGGUUCUCCCCGAAAGCUAUUUAGGUAGCGCCUCGUGAAUUCAUCUCCGGGGGUAGAGCACUGUUUCGGCAAGGGGGUCAUCCCGACUUACCAACCCGAUGCAAACUGCGAAUACCGGAGAAUGUUAUCACGGGAGACACACGGCGGGUGCUAACGUCCGUCGUGAAGAGGGAAACAACCCAGACCGCCAGCUAAGGUCCCAAAGUCAUGGUUAAGUGGGAAACGAUGUGGGAAGGCCCAGACAGCCAGGAUGUUGGCUUAGAAGCAGCCAUCAUUUAAAGAAAGCGUAAUAGCUCACUGGUCGAGUCGGCCUGCGCGGAAGAUGUAACGGGGCUAAACCAUGCACCGAAGCUGCGGCAGCGACGCUUAUGCGUUGUUGGGUAGGGGAGCGUUCUGUAAGCCUGUGAAGGUGUACUGUGAGG